This 1364-nucleotide ribosomal RNA is filed under the name Neisseria gonorrhoeae. RNAcentral describes it as "bacterial SSU rRNA". It matches the Rfam family "Bacterial small subunit ribosomal RNA", at positions 89 to 1451 of the family's 1533-position model. The record is from RNAcentral. Lineage: Bacteria; Pseudomonadati; Pseudomonadota; Betaproteobacteria; Neisseriales; Neisseriaceae.
UGGCGAGUGGCGAACGGGUGAGUAACAUAUCGGAACGUACCGGGUAGCGGGGGAUAACUGAUCGAAAGAUCAGCUAAUACCGCAUACGUCUUGAGAGGGAAAGCAGGGGACCUUCGGGCCUUGCGCUAUCCGAGCGGCCGAUAUCUGAUUAGCUGGUUGGCGGGGUAAAGGCCCACCAAGGCGACGAUCAGUAGCGGGUCUGAGAGGAUGAUCCGCCACACUGGGACUGAGACACGGCCCAGACUCCUACGGGAGGCAGCAGUGGGGAAUUUUGGACAAUGGGCGCAAGCCUGAUCCAGCCAUGCCGCGUGUCUGAAGAAGGCCUUCGGGUUGUAAAGGACUUUUGUCAGGGAAGAAAAGGCCGUUGUCAAUAUCGGCGGCCGAUGACGGUACCUGAAGAAUAAGCACCGGCUAACUACGUGCCAGCAGCCGCGGUAAUACGUAGGGUGCGAGCGUUAAUCGGAAUUACUGGGCGUAAAGCGGGCGCAGACGGUUACUUAAGCAGGAUGUGAAAUCCCCGGGCUCAACCCGGGAACUGCGUUCUGAACUGGGUGACUCGAGUGUGUCAGAGGGAGGUGGAAUUCCACGUGUAGCAGUGAAAUGCGUAGAGAUGUGGAGGAAUACCGAUGGCGAAGGCAGCCUCCUGGGAUAACACUGACGUUCAUGUCCGAAAGCGUGGGUAGCAAACAGGAUUAGAUACCCUGGUAGUCCACGCCCUAAACGAUGUCAAUUAGCUGUUGGGCAACUUGAUUGCUUGGUAGCGUAGCUAACGCGUGAAAUUGACCGCCUGGGGAGUACGGUCGCAAGAUUAAAACUCAAAGGAAUUGACGGGGACCCGCACAAGCGGUGGAUGAUGUGGAUUAAUUCGAUGCAACGCGAAGAACCUUACCUGGUUUUGACAUGUGCGGAAUCCUCCGGAGACGGAGGAGUGCCUUCGGGAGCCGUAACACAGGUGCUGCAUGGCUGUCGUCAGCUCGUGUCGUGAGAUGUUGGGUUAAGUCCCGCAACGAGCGCAACCCUUGUCAUUAGUUGCCAUCAUUCGGUUGGGCACUCUAAUGAGACUGCCGGUGACAAGCCGGAGGAAGGUGGGGAUGACGUCAAGUCCUCAUGGCCCUUAUGACCAGGGCUUCACACGUCAUACAAUGGUCGGUACAGAGGGUAGCCAAGCCGCGAGGCGGAGCCAAUCUCACAAAACCGAUCGUAGUCCGGAUUGCACUCUGCAACUCGAGUGCAUGAAGUCGGAAUCGCUAGUAAUCGCAGGUCAGCAUACUGCGGUGAAUACGUUCCCGGGUCUUGUACACACCGCCCGUCACACCAUGGGAGUGGGGGAUACCAGAAGUAGGUAGGGUAACCGCAAGGAGUCC